GGAGACGUGGCUGAGUGGUCGAAAGCGCCUCACUGCUAACGAGGUAGGGUGUAAAAGCUCUCCAGGGUUCGAAUCCCUGCGUCUCCGCCA
This 90-nucleotide transfer RNA is filed under the name Minisyncoccota bacterium. RNAcentral describes it as "tRNA-Ser". It matches the Rfam family "tRNA". From Rfam's summary of the family: Transfer RNA (tRNA) molecules are approximately 80 nucleotides in length. Their secondary structure includes four short double-helical elements and three loops (D, anti-codon, and T loops). Lineage: Bacteria; Bacillati; Minisyncoccota. The record is from RNAcentral.